AGAGUUUGAUCAUGGCUCAGGACGAACGCUGGCGGCGUGCCUAAUACAUGCAAGUCGAGCGGACCGAAAGGAGAGCUCGCUCUCCUUUCAGUCAGCGGCGGACGGGUGAGUAACACGUGGGUAACCUGCCUGUAAGACCGGGAUAACUCGCGGAAACGCGAGCUAAUACCGGAUAGGUCCCGUGGCCGCAUGGCGACGGGAGGAAAGAUGGCGCGAGCUAUCGCUUACAGAUGGGCCCGCGGCGCAUUAGCUAGUUGGUGAGGUAACGGCCCACCAAGGCGACGAUGCGUAGCCGACCUGAGAGGGUGAUCGGCCACAUUGGGACUGAGACACGGCCCAAACUCCUACGGGAGGCAGCAGUAGGGAAUCUUCCGCAAUGGGCGAAAGCCUGACGGAGCAACGCCGCGUGAGCGAAGAAGGCCUUCGGGUCGUAAAGCUCUGUUGUCAGGGAAGAACAAGUACCGGAGUAACUGCCGGUACCUUGACGGUACCUGACCAGAAAGCCCCGGCUAACUACGUGCCAGCAGCCGCGGUAAUACGUAGGGGGCGAGCGUUGUCCGGAAUCAUUGGGCGUAAAGCGCGCGCAGGCGGUCCCUUAAGUCUGAUGUGAAAUCUUGCGGCUCAACCGCAAGAGGUCAUUGGAAACUGGGGGACUUGAGUGCAGGAGAGGGAAGCGGAAUUCCAUGUGUAGCGGUGAAAUGCGUAGAGAUAUGGAGGAACACCAGUGGCGAAGGCGGCUUCCUGGCCUGUAACUGACGCUCAGGCGCGAAAGCGUGGGGGAGCAAACAGGAUUAGAUACCCUGCUAGUCCACGCCGUAAACGAUGAGUGCUAGUGUUGGAGGGGUUUACCCUUCAGUGCUGGAGCUAACGCAUUAAGCACUCCGCCUGGGGAGUACGGCCGCAAGGCUGAAACUCAAUGAAUUGACGG
RNAcentral lists this ribosomal RNA (928 nucleotides) under uncultured bacterium. RNAcentral's name for it is "bacterial SSU rRNA". It matches the Rfam family "Bacterial small subunit ribosomal RNA", at positions 8 to 916 of the family's 1533-position model. The record is from RNAcentral.